UGAUGUCAGAAGAAUAGAUGAAGUUGC
This 27-nucleotide non-coding RNA is filed under the name Homo sapiens (human). The record is from RNAcentral. Lineage: Eukaryota; Metazoa; Chordata; Mammalia; Primates; Hominidae.